GACGAACGCUGGCGGCGUGCUUAACACAUACAAGUCGAACGGUAAGGCCCUUCGGGGUACACGAGUGGCGAACGGGUGAGUAACACGUGGGUGAUCUGCCCUGCACUUCGGGAUAAGCCUGGGAAACUGGGUCUAAUACCGGAUAGGACCACUGCCUGCAUGGGUGGUGGUGGAAAGCUUUUGCGGUGUGGGAUGGGUCCGCGGCCUAUCAGCUUGUUGGUGGGGUGAUGGCCUACCAAGGCGACGACGGGUAGCCGGCCUGAGAGGGUGACCGGCCACACUGGGACUGAGAUACGGCCCAGACUCCUACGGGAGGCAGCAGUGGGGAAUAUUGCACAAUGGGCGCAAGCCUGAUGCAGCGACGCCGCGUGAGGGAUGACGGCCUUCGGGUUGUAAACCUCUUUCAGCACCGACGAAGCGCAAGUGACGGUAGGUGCAGAAGAAGGACCGGCCAACUACGUGCCAGCAGCCGCCGUAA
Molecule: ribosomal RNA, 478 nt
Filed under: uncultured bacterium
Lineage: Bacteria
Description: partial 16S ribosomal RNA
Rfam family: Bacterial small subunit ribosomal RNA
Source: RNAcentral